This 3030-nucleotide long non-coding RNA is filed under the name Salmo salar (Atlantic salmon). RNAcentral describes it as "lncRNA (ENSSSAG00000115381.1)". The record is from RNAcentral. Lineage: Eukaryota; Metazoa; Chordata; Actinopteri; Salmoniformes; Salmonidae.
CCGGGUGAUUCAGUUUAUAGUAAGGCAGUUUAUUAUGAGACAAAGAUGUUUGGCAAAGCGUGCACGGACUCCUUCGUUUAGCUCUUAGGGAACUAGCAGAAGAGAGAGCCCCGAAACAUAGUGUACAUCCAAUUUAUACAAUGAAAUAACAGUGUGUUGACGUUGAGUCUAGUAGGUCCGCUCUCCUGACUGGUCGAUGAGUGGAGGGACGGUCCACUCUCCAGGUGGUGUCGACUUCCCAUUGGCCCUUGGCAGUGUCCUUUGUCCUCGGAGUCCAACACACCUAAGUGUGUGUGUGUGUGUAUUUCUGGUAAUUCGUGUCUGGGUGCUUUGCGAUAUUCAUGGAAUGUUGUUCUUUACACCAGUGGUCAGUUCGUGUGGCUAGGGCUUAAGUCAGCCAUCUGUCUCUAGGUGUGGUCGUGAUUGGUAUCAGUUGGUUGCUCAAUAUGUCUCUGGAAUUUUGUUGUGUGCUGUUGUGAAACAUGUUGUGCAAAUGCCCUCCUUAUAUAUCAUUAGGUAAAACGUUAGAUUAUCUUUAUUACAAAUCCCCCUCUUCACGUCUGCAAGACGUGACAAAAAAGAACAAUCUGCGGCACAGUGGGAGUGAAAACAAACAAACGGAAGUCAGAGACAAAUUUUGUGAGUCCCCCUCUUCACGUCUCACCUCAGCAGAUAGCUUGUCAAGUCUCAAUAGGGAUUAAAAUCAUAUCAUUUCCAUUACAAUCCACCCGUUUUGCUAGAUAUUUCACAUACAUUAUAACACAUCUAUUUUGAUUGGAUUCAGAAAUUUCACACAAAUUCAAACUAAUUCAUGCAUCCCAAUAGAUGGUCUCAUCUAACAUGUGCUCCUCAUAUUUGAAUGAAUCCUCCACCUUGCUCGGCGGUAGGUACUUGUCAUCUCAUUGAUCUGAACUUUGACUCGGUCCGUAGCUCACCAUCUGCUCCGUUAUCAUCUCUCUAGAGUUCUGGUGAUUAAACCUCUUGCACACGGGACCAAACAACAACCACACAACCCAAUCACACUCAUACAGGUGAAAGCAGCCCAUAAUACAGUUCUUGCAACACUUUUCCAUUUCCCAAACAUGAUCUGUGUUAUCAAAAAUGUACGUACAGCAAUGAACCUAAUCAUUCUACCUACACCAUCCUCUUUGCCCGUAACCUAUCGAGAGUCAGUCUAUUUUACCAGGUCAUGAGGGAGGUGGCGGAUAAUUGGUCAGAGAACCUCUUUACUGCAUCCCCUGUUUCAUUCAUGAAUCUCUGUUGAUUAAAAGAUGUCAUUAAUUCAAUCCACAUUAUUAUUUAUUGUCAACUACCAAAAUAAUGUAGUGUUAAAGCCUUCACAUAUUUGAUUCAUAGCUUUGUAUUCAUCUGGAACUUCCCUGAGGAUGCCAAUAGCAUCCAUCUUGUAAAGCUACUCCCAUCCUGGUCAAAACUCCUCCUGUGCCUACUUUAGCCUCCUAUAACUGGCCUCUGAUGACUAACUCGAACUGGUUAGACCAAUAACCCCAGGGCGCAAUUCCUAACCACCCUUUGUGGUCAUUUCUGUCGUCUGCGUCCUUUGCUGGUACUAGCCCACCCUUCAUCAGUUAUAGGUGCUAUGAGGUUACACAUUUUCUCCUGUGCUUUCAAACCUAAGUCAGUCAUAUUAACAAUUACCUUUCCAGCCAUUAAAAUCAUCUUAAUUCUCGGUGCCAUUUUUGUAUCUAUAACACUGGUAUUCACUCCGGAAUUUAGGUGAACCGAGGUGGGUUGGCUGAGUACUUCAAUCUGGCCAACCCAUAUUCCUGUACAGUUGUCUGCUUCCCCAGGAAAUUGUUUAAUGUUUACCUUAAAUUCUACAUCUUGAUCUUCUUUGAUUCCUUAUUCUGUACGUCACUCAUCAGUGUAUUAUAUAGUUUAUCUUUUACUUCUUCUCCAUGACAACGGUAACCUAUGUUUAGUACCAGUAGGUGGUGGAUCUGAAUAUAUCAGAAAGAUUAGACUAUGAUGCAGCUCAGAGUUUCUACUCUUCCCAAAAACCGUCAACCCUCUCCUGCCCUUAGUCUCUCUGCUUGGUACCACCCCAUACUCACACCUCUAGGAGCACACACAGUGAUGAACGGUCGGGAUAGGGAAUCUUCGUUAAGGAGGUAACCCCCGGACCCUGUUGGUAUCGGUUCUUCUCCUAACUCUGUGUGUGAUCAGCAGUGGUCAUAUGUGUAAAUACCUCCUUGCAGUGGGUAACGUGGACCCAAGUGACUCUCUUAGCUUUUCUAAUGGCAAAGGCAAUGGUUUAACAGCACCUGGUAUGGGCCUUCCCCACGGGGCUGCUUCCAGUCUUUUCUCCUCAGGGACUGGAUCCACACCCAGUCUCCUGGUUGGAUUGAGUGAAUCACCUUCUCCUGUAAUUCACCUGUUGAACACAAAAUCUUGGACAUACGGGUUUGGUUAACAAACAGUCUUCUCAUGUGCUCUGCUAGUAUAUCUUUAACUUCUAUGUCUACCUGUUCUGGUAUCUCUAUUCUCCCUAACUCUGGCAUUCUAUAGGCUCUACCUGAUUAGCUAAACUGUCAUCCAUCAUUUAAAGAGAUAGAUCCCAGUAUCAACACUAGGGAUUAUAUCUUGUCCUAUAUUCUAGCUACCAUAAUCAUGUCCACCAAGUAAGUUGGGAACACUUCUACCCAUUUGCUAUACUUAUCUGUUAUUGUUAAACACCCCUUAUUCCCCUCAAUUCGGAAUAGUUCAAUAAGUCCAUUUCCAAAUGUUGGAACGGACAUUCUACAAAAAAUGUUUUUGUUCUAGUAGCAUCCUAUCCUGUUCUAUCGCCUGCUCUACUAUACUCCCCCUUACUCCCCCUUUUUAUACAUGGCUCAAACCAUGUAUCAAUUUUGCUGCAUUUCUUAACAAUGUCUUUUGUAAGGUUAGUAAAUUAUCCUUAUGUCAGCCCUUCUCUUGUAGGAUUGCCCCCUUUCAUAUACCACAUGUCCAAUUCUCCCUGGGGCAUUCAUCCUUAGGUACCCUGUGCAUUUCUCUAUCAAGUGUCCUAUCUUC